CCCCAGUAACGGCGAGUGAAGCGGCAACAGCUCAAAUUUGAAAUCUGGCCCCCCGGCCCGAGUUGUAAUUUGUAGAGGAUGCUUUUGGUGCGGCGCCUUCCGAGUUCCCUGGAACGGGACGCCAUAGAGGGUGAGAGCCCCGUCUGGUUGGCCGCCAAGCCUCUGUAAAGCUCCUUCGACGAGUCGAGUAGUUUGGGAAUGCUGCUCUAAAUGGGAGGUAUAUGUCUUCUAAAGCUAAAUACCGGCCAGAGACCGAUAGCGCACAAGUAGAGUGAUCGAAAGAUGAAAAGCACUUUGAAAAGAGAGUUAAAUAGCACGUGAAAUUGUUGAAAGGGAAGCGCUUGUGACCAGACUUGGGCUUGGUUAAUCAUCCAGCGUUCUCGCUGGUGCACUUGGCCGGCCCAGGCCAGCAUCAGUUCGGCUUGGGGGAUAAAGGCGUCGGGAACGUGGCUCCCCCGGGAGUGUUAUAGCCCUUCGCGCAAUGCCCUGAGCCGGACUGAGGUUCGCGCAUCUGCAUGGAUGCUGGCGUAAUGGUCAUCAGCGACCCGUCUUGAAACACGGACCAAGGAGUCGUCUUCGUAUGCGAGUGUUCGGGUGUCAAACCCCUACGCGUAAUGAAAGUGAACGCAGGUGAGAGCUUCGGCGCAUCACCGACCGAUCCUGAUGUUCUCGGAUGGAUUUGAGUAAGAGCAUACGGGGCCG
This 702-nucleotide ribosomal RNA is filed under the name Nalanthamala vermoesenii. RNAcentral's name for it is "LSU rRNA". It matches the Rfam family "Eukaryotic large subunit ribosomal RNA", at positions 78 to 812 of the family's 3401-position model. Lineage: Eukaryota; Fungi; Ascomycota; Sordariomycetes; Hypocreales; Nectriaceae. The record is from RNAcentral.